UGAAAAUAUCUUCAAGCGACAGUUGAAGUCGUCCAUGGACUGGUUGGUACUGAUUAGACAGCCAGCUAGAUAGUGCCAACAAGAUCAGAGAGAAUUUGUUAGAUCGAGAGACCGACUUGUCUUCACAUAAAAUCAACUUUAAAAAGGACAGCCAGUAUAAUGUUUAUUUCAAAUUCAUGGACUAAGUGCUUGAUAUGCCUUAUCUUUAUAACAAGUGGAAAUGCCGAGUGUCCUAAACCUCAAGUAGAGGGAAACGUUGUUCUAACGAAUGCUGCGCUAGUAAUUAACGUUUUUCCGGAGGGGGAGGAAGCCACUUUUGAGUGUGCCAACGGCUACUUGAAAGAGCAAGGAUCUGAAAGAAUCACCUGCGCGAGUGGAAAGUGGAGCACGCUCAAAUUAACCUGCAAAAAGAAGGACUGUGGUGCCCCCAGGAAGAUACCACAUUUGACAUAUGAGUUUGGGGAAGGCACGCUUUUUGGUGCAUCAGCAAGAGCAAUCUGUGAUAAAGGUUAUCAACUUAUGGGCCCAAGUUACAGGCAGUGUUAUGCCAUAGGUUGGAGUGGAAGACCAAGAUGUAAAGUGGUAACUUGUGAUAAACCUCCUGAGAUAAUGAAUGGCACGAUCACAGAGAAGCCUGGCGAAGAGUUACCAGAGUAUGGUGGUGUCAUACAGUACUCCUGUAAUGAAGGUUACACCCUCAUUGGAAACAAAUCAAUUGAGUGCAAUGAAGAUGGUGAAUACAACUCAUUACCUCCUGAAUGUAAAGAUGUCAAUGACAUUCCUUUGAAACCAACAGCAACUAUUUCAAUAACAACAACAACUGUUCCACCCACAAUACGAGAUGUCAAUGACAUUCCUUUGAAACCAACAGCAACUAUUUCAAUAACAACAACAACUGUUCCACCCACAAUACGAGGUAGAGGAAAUCCAAGUAAAUCUAUCCCAGUGUAAUCAAGGGCUUGAUUAUUAGUUUAAUUUGAAAUUUGCAGUUUCAGGGAGUAACAGUGGUGUACACUUAUUUAAAAUGAAAGCACUGCAUGAAGGUGCAAUACUGAAUAACCAUUGUACAUUUCUAUUGCAUAGAUGUCAAUGACAUUCCUUUGAAACCAACAGCAACUAUUUCAAUAACAACAACAACUGUUCCACCCACAAUACGAGAUGUCAAUGACAUUCCUUUGAAACCAACAGCAACUAUUUCAAUAACAACAACAACUGUUCCACCCACAAUACGAGUUUCAGGGAGGAAUAAUGGCAUUGGGGAACAUGACACCAAUGCAGCUACUGGGAAUGCAGCAGUUGUGAUAAGUGUGAUCAGCACUGUCAUAGUUGCACUUAUCAUUGUGCUGUUCAAACUGUAUCAUUGUUAUAAGAGGAAAGGCUCGUACCAGAUGGGAGAAGACCCAAGUCGAACAGAGGAAUCAUUACAAUUUAAAAAUAACUAAGUUGAAUGCCUACCCAAGGGCUAGGACUGCACCUAUCUGCUAGUCUGCAUCUGUAGCCUUGAAAAGAAGUGCCAGCGGAUUGUUCCUCUGACCAUUCCCUGGUUGGACAAAGCCAUUUAAUUUACAGUGCCCUUAUGUAUGUGGCAUUACUGAAUGGAAGUUAUAAUUGCACUUUUUAUUAAGUUGUUUUUGAAAGUCAGUUCAGCGGAAAUGUUUUAACCCAAUGUUUGAAAACCGGUAUAUAUUUUUUUCUAUUGAUAUACAAAACUGAAAUAUACGUAAUUGUCUUUUCAACUACCAUAUUUGACUACAGGUUGCUAGCUUGCUCUGUUGUGUGGGCAGAAAACCCUGUAAUAAAAUGAGUGCACUAAACAAAAUGUAUGAUUGAGGAAAUCCCCAGGCUGAUAAUCACUGACAAUUUCUAAAUGUGUGCUUACUAAUUGUGGCUCACAGGAAAAUAACAGUAAGAGACAGUUUCCUGGACCCAGGUUAAGGCUACAGCACUGUAUUCCUUUUCAAGUAGGCUUAAUCUGGGUCCAGGAAACCAGCUCUUCAUGUUAAUUUCCUGCAGCCCCAAAUGUCACAAAAUAAUGUCAAUCUUAUUAGAGGUUUUGUACUUUGAUUUUAUAGUGUGUAUUGUGUGAUUUAAGAGAUCAAAUAAUUUUUAUGAUAACUGCCUUUUCUCCUUCUUUGAGACACAUUUGUGUAAAUAUGAAAGUAUGUACAUUGUCUAAUAAUCAUGGUUGGGUAGGUUCAUUUGUAAAUGUAAUCUGCUACAGUUACUAUACUAUAUCCCAGAAAUGUUCCAUAUGCACAAAAAGCUUAUUUCUCUCAAAUGUUGUGCAUAAAUUAGUUUACAUCUAGGGUUGCCAACUUUUUCACUACCAAAUAAGGGACAAAAGGUUGCGUUCCAGUGCACAGUGCCACGCCGGUAUGGGUAUGGUGUCGUGUGAAUGAAUAUACAGUGUAUAUUCAUAUUCUUAUUAAAUUGUAACGGCAAACAUUUCUAUAUUCCAUUUAGCCUAUAGCUUUACUAAAAUGGUAUCAUUAUGUAAACUUAUGUGAAUAAACCUCAAAAUAAAUGA
This is a non-coding RNA of Salvelinus sp. IW2-2015, 2527 nucleotides long. Lineage: Eukaryota; Metazoa; Chordata; Actinopteri; Salmoniformes; Salmonidae. The record is from RefSeq and is a predicted model, not a curated record.